GUGCGGGUCCUGUGCAACAAGGCGCUGUGAACCAUGUCAGGCGGGGAACCGAGCAGCAUUAAGCAGUUUGCAUUGUGUGACGCAGUCUCGCCUGCACGUC
RNAcentral lists this signal recognition particle RNA (100 nucleotides) under Candidatus Faeciplasma pullistercoris. RNAcentral's name for it is "signal recognition particle sRNA small type". It matches the Rfam family "Bacterial small signal recognition particle RNA". Rfam says of the family: The signal recognition particle (SRP) is a universally conserved ribonucleoprotein involved in the co-translational targeting of proteins to membranes. Lineage: Bacteria; Bacillati; Bacillota; Clostridia; Eubacteriales; Oscillospiraceae. The record is from RNAcentral.